CGGAGAACUUGCCACAAAAACUUUCCCUCUUCGAAAUUAGGUCCCAGGUAUUGAUUGUCAUUAGAAUAGUUAGAUAAUUCGGAAAACACAGUUUUUGGCCUUAUACUUUGUAGUAGACUAGCAUACUUUAGCUUUUUCCCAUUUAGAAAUUUAGAGAAUUUAUUCGGAUAAGAAUUGCUUAAAUAUCUGGCAACCCUGGUUCUGCACAAUCGCGUCCCUCCUCCACGUUUUUCGUGUUCAAAGCACAAGCUUAUCUGACUGAACUUUAAGGACAAGACGGGUGCCUGAGUUGCUGGCUGACAGGUCGAAGAAAACCAAAAUGGCAGAUUUCCCUGUAAUUAAAGCGGAAGGAAAAUGCGAAGGCAUCGUGAUCAAAGACGAAUGGCCAGGCUACCAUUUAGACCUCUUUACCUUUCCUGAGCAUUACUCUGGGGAUCUAGAGUGUGUCUACCUGCCUCACGGAAUCAUCAUGGACAGGACGGAGCGUCUGGCCCGGGACAUCAUGGACGACCUCGGGGACCACGACAUCGUGGUGCUGUGCGUGCUGAAGGGCGGCUACCAGUUCUGCGCCGACCUGGUGGAGUACAUCAAGGCCCUGAGCCGCAACUCCAACAAGUCCCUGCUCAUGAGGGUGGACUUCAUCCGGCUCAAGAGCUACCUGAAUGACAAGUCCACAGAGGAUCUACACAUCGUGGGAGCGGAGGACCUCUCUGUUCUGAAUGGGAAGAACGUCUUGAUCGUAGAGGCCAUAGUCGACACCGGCAAGACCAUGAAGGCUCUUCUGAAGCACGUGGAGACCUUCAAGCCCAAGAUGGUCAAGGUCGCCGGGCUGCUGGUGAAGAGGGUGGAGAACGCAGUGGGGAGGUCCCCGGACUGUACGUUGUUUUUCCACAUCAACAGUUUUUUUUUCUUCUCCAGCAGGUUUUGAGUUUCUUCACCUGUAAAAUUGGAAUGGCAGACGUAGGGUUUGAAAUUCCGAACCGAUUCGUCGUCGGCUACGCCCUGGACUACAACGAGUAUUUCCGCGACCUGAACCACAUAUGUGUGAUCAGCGAGAGCGGGAAGAUGAAGUACAAGAUCUGAAACGGGGCCCGGGGACGCCGUCCGGCUGUCCCGCACAGGGAGGAUGGACCCGUUGCCAUGGACGCAUGUGGCGCCGGUCUGUCGCCAGCACCUGUCAAUCAGCAGGCUCCUCCCCCCCCUUGCCUCUCUCUAUCUCUAUCUCUCCCUCACUGUUUCUCUCUAUCUCUAUCUCUCCCUCUCUCCCUCGCUCUCUCUCUCUCCUCUCUCUCUCUCUCUCUCUCUCUCUCUCUCUCUCUCUCUCGCUCUCUCUCUCCCUCUGUUAUUCUGUCAGUGCCAGGUGAGCUAAUCGCACACCACAUCCGCAAGCCCGCACCACAAGCUUGCUUUGGUCCUGAAAACUACAAAAAAAAACUGUGAAACCUGCCAGCGUUUCUGAAUCCGGUUUACUGAAGCUAUUUAGAUCAGUGAGUUUUAAGGGGGGGUGGGGACUCCAACUCUCUUUUUGCCUGCACUGUUUGUUUUGUGUGGAGGGAUUUAUACAAAAAUGUUUUUGAAAACGGUUUACUCACCUGGUGCCUGAUGGACUGAGAAUCCUGGGAAGUCUCUGGCGUCCCGGAGCUGAUCAGCUAACACCGUGUCAUUGACAUGUUUGCAUUGUGAAAUAUGUACUCAUAACCUACUGAUGCUUUUAUCUGUGUGGCUUGAUAAAAUAAUGCCUGUUAAAUGGAAAAUAUCACACAGUUGUGCUGCAUUGGAGUGAUGUUUAAUUCAUAGAAAAUUGAUGACAAAUAUGUAAAUGACUACAUAUCUGGAUCUAAUGUUAAUGUUUAUCUAAAGAAUAACAGAAUCAUCACAGGUUUUUACAUUUAUUCAGUAUUGCUCUAGAAAUUUCAUUGUGGGUAUUUUUUUUCCCCCAGGUAUGGAUUUGCACUAUUUCUAUAGAAUAUUAUUUUGAGGAUAGAUUUAGUGUAAUUACAUCAACUUUUUAAUUGUGUUGUAUUUUAACAGCCUAUGAAAAUGUUUUCAUUUAAAAUGUGCUUUAUUGUGACUGAUAAUCCGAUACUAAGAAUGCAUUACAUUACAUUACAUUCUAUGCAUUUGAUGUGCAGCUAGUAAGCAAGGCUUUGAGGAGGUACGUCAUAUAUUUUAUGAUAUAUUUUUACUGUUCACGGUGGUCUUUUCCGAUUGGUUGUGCACAAAGAAUGCUUGACGUCCCACUGAAGCCAACCAACGGGGAGUGUGAUGAUUUGUAUUAUGAUGUCAUAAUCAACAAAUAUCCCCCUCAACUGUGUUCACAUAGCUCAGCUGAGGAAGUGACUGGCAUUCCACUGUUAAUGAUGCAACAGUAGUUGGAAUACGGGAAGAACAGUAACAAUGUGUUACUUGGAGAAACUUCCUCUAGGUUUUGAUCUUGAGCUCAAGCCUUGCAUUAAAAUUUUUUAAGCCUCCCAUUUUUAAUUUACUGCCAAAUUCUGUGUUUUAUUUCUCCCCGGGAGGUACAGAAAAAAGGGCAGUAAUCGCGACACAUUAGAGCCAUCAGAAAAGCUCCAGUUUUUACAGUUUUAUCAUUUUACUCAUACGCUCAGCUGGUCACACAGCAAAAUAAAUCUCCUACAUCUCUAAGCAAGCAAGCGGCCAAAAAAACGAGUGUUAAAACACUGCGGCGGGGGGGGGGGGGGAUUCAGCUUGAUCUCGGCCUGUACCGAAACCCUGCUCUGCACCUGCUCCACCACACCACCACCUCCACCCCCCCCCCCUGCUCCACUUUCCCCCCUCCUCCACCACUUUCUCUACUCCUCCAUUUUCCUUCUCCUCCCCUCCCUUGCUCCACCCUUCCCCUCCACCACUCCUCUGGUCCACCCCACCCCCCACUCCUCUGCUUUCCCCCGCCCCGCUCCACCCCUCCCCAGCUCACGUCCCCACUCCACCCCUCCCCUGCUCCACCCCCCCUUCUCCACCCAUCCCCCUACUCCCCCCACUCCCCUCCUCCUCCACUCCACCCCUCCACACUGAUCUCUUCAGUUCUUUGUUAGAAUCUGAUUGACGUCGGAGGCCCUGGAGUUAUAACUUUAUUAAUCAUCGUUCCUGCGUUGCUUGCAGGUGCUCAAAGUGCCUUAGAGACAUUUUUAAAGAGUCCUCUAGUCAUAAAUCUUCCUCCUGCCACGCUUCCACCUGUCUGUUUGAUCAGCCUCUGCUUAUUUAGUACUUUUACCUGUUCAGGUAUGAGAGCUGCUGUUUGCACAGCUUGUCCAAGUUCCCUGUGUGGCUCUGCAUUUGGCAGCAGUGCAGGACAGAACCACUACAUUCCACCUGACACUGUUUACAAUCCUGUAAAAAAAAACUAAUUCUCUUGAAUGCGUGCGUAUAUCUGAGCCCAAUGCUGUGAAAAUGUGUUUGUGUGCAAAUGUGUUCUUUGGAGACCAAUAAAGGUGUACAAUAUUCCACAAUA
RNA transcript from Anguilla rostrata (American eel), 3472 nucleotides. It is a transcript of the gene named phosphoribosyl transferase domain containing 1b, with no coding region annotated. Lineage: Eukaryota; Metazoa; Chordata; Actinopteri; Anguilliformes; Anguillidae. The transcript is spliced from 9 exons. The record is from RefSeq and is a predicted model, not a curated record.